UAACAGGAUUAGAUACCCUGGUAGUCCAUGCCGUAAACGUUGGGCACUAGGUGUGGGGGACAUUCCACGUUUUCCGCGCCGUAGCUAACGCAUUAAGUGCCCCGCCUGGGGAGUACGGCCGCAAGGCUAAAACUCAAAGGAAUUGACGGGGGCCCGCACAAGCGGCGGAGCAUGCGGAUUAAUUCGAUGCAACGCGAAGAACCUUACCAAGGCUUGACAUGUGCUAGAUCGCCAUAGAAAUAUGGUUUCCCCUUUGGGGCUGGUUCACAGGUGGUGCAUGGUUGUCGUCAGCUCGUGUCGUGAGAUGUUGGGUUAAGUCCCGCAACGAGCGCAACCCUCGUUCUAUGUUGCCAGCACGUUAUGGUGGGGACUCAUAGGAGACUGCCGGGGUCAACUCGGAGGAAGGUGGGGACGACGUCAAAUCAUCAUGCCCCUUAUGUCUUGGGCUUCACGCAUGCUACAAUGGCCGGUACAAUGGGUUGCGAUACUGUGAGGUGGAGCUAAUCCCAAAAAGCCGGUCUCAGUUCGGAUUGGGGUCUGCAACUCGACCCCAUGAAGUCGGAGUCGCUAGUAAUCGCAGAUCAGCAACGCUGCGGUGAAUACGUUCCCGGGCCUUGUACACACCGCCCGUCAAGUCACGAGAGUUGGUAACACCCGAAGCCGGUGGCCUAACCCCCUUGUGGGGAGGGAGCUGUCGAAGGUGGGACUGGCGAUUGGGACUAAGUCGUAACAAGGUAACCA
RNAcentral lists this ribosomal RNA (741 nucleotides) under uncultured Sphingomonas sp. RNAcentral's name for it is "bacterial SSU rRNA". It matches the Rfam family "Bacterial small subunit ribosomal RNA", at positions 770 to 1502 of the family's 1533-position model. Lineage: Bacteria; Pseudomonadati; Pseudomonadota; Alphaproteobacteria; Sphingomonadales; Sphingomonadaceae. The record is from RNAcentral.